UGGCGGACGGGUGAGUAACGCGUGGGUAACCUGCCUUGUACUGGGGGACAACAGUUAGAAAUGAUUGCUAAUACCGCAUAAGCGCACAGUAUCGCAUGAUACGGUGUGAAAAACUCCGGUGGUACAAGAUGGACCCGCGUCUGAUUAGCUAGUUGGUAAGGUAACGGCUUACCAAGGCGACGAUCAGUAGCCGACCUGAGAGGGUGACCGGCCACAUUGGGACUGAGACACGGCCCAA
This 238-nucleotide ribosomal RNA is filed under the name uncultured bacterium. Its description in RNAcentral is "partial 16S ribosomal RNA". It matches the Rfam family "Bacterial small subunit ribosomal RNA", at positions 96 to 334 of the family's 1533-position model. The record is from RNAcentral.